Molecule: small nucleolar RNA, 69 nt
Filed under: Mastacembelus armatus (zig-zag eel)
Lineage: Eukaryota; Metazoa; Chordata; Actinopteri; Synbranchiformes; Mastacembelidae
Description: Small nucleolar RNA SNORD75 (ENSMAMG00000003684.2)
Rfam family: Small nucleolar RNA SNORD75
About the family: U75 (SNORD75) belongs to the C/D class of snoRNAs which contain the C (UGAUGA) and D (CUGA) box motifs. Most of the members of the box C/D family function in directing site-specific 2'-O-methylation of substrate RNAs.
Source: Rfam by way of RNAcentral
AGUCAGUGAUGAGGUUAAGUAUAAGAGUAGUGGACAGAAGUGAUUUCUGAGAAACUUUACACUGAGACU